AAUCUUGCGCAAUGGGCGAAAGCCUGACGCAGCCAUGCCGCGUGAAUGAUGAAGGCCUUAGGUUUGUAAAAUUCUUUCAUCGGGGACGAUAAUGACGGUACCCGGAGAAGAAGCCACGGCUAACUUCGUGCGAGCAGGCGCGGUAAUACGAAGGGGGCUAGCGUUGCUCGGAAUUACUGGGCGUAAAGGGCGCGUAGGCGGACAUUUAACUCAGGGGUGAAAUCCCAGAGCUCAACUCUGGAACUGCCUUUGAUACUGGGUGACUUGAGAGUGAGAGAGGUAGGUGGAACUCCGAGUGUAGAGGUGAAAUUCGUAGAUAUUCGGAAGAACACCAGUGGCGAAGGCGACAUACUGGCUCAUUACUGACGCUGAGGCGCGAAAGCGUGGGGAGCAAACA
RNAcentral lists this ribosomal RNA (397 nucleotides) under uncultured bacterium. Its description in RNAcentral is "partial 16S ribosomal RNA". It matches the Rfam family "Bacterial small subunit ribosomal RNA", at positions 360 to 774 of the family's 1533-position model. The record is from RNAcentral.